UGGGCAACCUACCCCUGGCUCCGGGAUAACCCUCGGAAACGAGAGCUAAUACCGGAUAUCAGCUCGCGCCGCAUGGCGCUUGCUCGAAAGUUUUUUCGGCUGGGGAUGGGCCCGCGGCCUAUCAGCUUGUUGGUGGGGUGAUGGCCUACCAAGGCGACGACGGGUAGCCGGCCUGAGAGGGCGACCGGCCACACUGGGACUGAGACACGGCCCAGACUCCUACGGGAGGCA
This 231-nucleotide ribosomal RNA is filed under the name uncultured bacterium. Its description in RNAcentral is "partial 16S ribosomal RNA". It matches the Rfam family "Bacterial small subunit ribosomal RNA", at positions 118 to 350 of the family's 1533-position model. The record is from RNAcentral.